CACGUAGUUAGCCGGGGCUUCUUAGUCAGGUACCGUCUGGCGACCCAAAGGUCGCUAUUUCUUCCCUGCUGAUAGAGCUUUACAUACCGAAAUACUUCUUCACUCACGCGGCGUCGCUGCAUCAGGGUUUCCCCCAUUGUGCAAUAUUCCCCACUGCUGCCUCCCGUAGGAGUCUGGGCCAUAUCUCAGUCCCAAUGUGGCCGGCCAACCUCUCAGUCCGGCUACUGAUCGUCGCCUUGGUAGGCCGUUACCCUACCAACUAGCUAAUCAGACGCGAGGCCAUCUCUCAGCGAUAAAUCUUUGGUACCAGUACCAUGCGAUACCCGUACGUUAUGCGGUAUUAGCAGUCGUUUCCAACUGUUGUCCCCCUCUGAAAGGCAGGUUCCUCACGCGUUACUCACCCGUCCGCCACUAAGUAGUCCUCUCCAUUGACCGAAAUCUCUUUCGAGGGUACUCCGUUCGACUUGCAUGUGUUAAGCACGCCGCCAGCGUUCGUCCUGAGCCAGGAUA
This 510-nucleotide ribosomal RNA is filed under the name uncultured Eubacteriales bacterium. RNAcentral describes it as "uncultured Clostridiales bacterium partial 16S ribosomal RNA". The record is from RNAcentral. Lineage: Bacteria; Bacillati; Bacillota; Clostridia; Eubacteriales.